RNAcentral lists this ribosomal RNA (499 nucleotides) under uncultured bacterium. Its description in RNAcentral is "partial 16S ribosomal RNA". It matches the Rfam family "Bacterial small subunit ribosomal RNA", at positions 899 to 1397 of the family's 1533-position model. The record is from RNAcentral.
ACUCAAAGGAAUUGACGGGGGCCCGCACAAGCAGCGGAGCAUGUGGUUCAAUUCGACGCAACGCGAAGAACCUUACCUGGGCUUGACAUGUUGGUGACAGCCGUGGAAACACGGUUUCCCUUCGGGGCACCUUCACAGGUGGUGCAUGGCUGUCGUCAGCUCGUGCCGUGAGGUGUUGGGUUAAGUCCCGCAACGAGCGCAACCCCCGUCCCAUGUUGCCAGCGGAUAAUGCCGGGGACUCAUGGGAGACUGCCGGUGACAAACCGGAGGAAGGUGGGGAUGACGUCAAGUCAUCAUGCCCCUUAUGCCCAGGGCUACACACGUGCUACAGUGGCCGGUACAGAGGGCUGCGAUGCCGUGAGGCGGAGCGAAUCCCAAAAAGCCGGUCUCGGUUCGGAUUGGAGGCUGAAACUCGCCUCCAUGAAGCCGGAGUUGCUAGUAAUCGCGGAUCAGCAACGCCGCGGUGAAUACGUUCCCGGGCCUUGUACACACCGCCCGU